UAACCAUACCACAUGAAACCAAAUGAAA
RNAcentral lists this small RNA (28 nucleotides) under Bombyx mori (domestic silkworm). RNAcentral describes it as "ovarian small RNA-18726". Lineage: Eukaryota; Metazoa; Arthropoda; Insecta; Lepidoptera; Bombycidae. The record is from RNAcentral.